This 1569-nucleotide long non-coding RNA is filed under the name Olea europaea subsp. europaea. Lineage: Eukaryota; Viridiplantae; Streptophyta; Magnoliopsida; Lamiales; Oleaceae. The record is from RNAcentral.
CGUCAUUCCAGCGUCUCGAUAGGCAACCCACCAAAUACCUCUUUCUUCUAGCGUAACAAAAAAGAAGGUGACAUAUUUUUUAUUUCUCUGCCAUUUAAUUUUUUACACUUGACGUCCGGCCAACGGUCUUGUACGACUUCGGUUGUUUGGCCAUUUUUUUCGUUCGAGAGUUUUGUUAUAAAUUUCAACAUUUGAAAAUUGUGUGGGUUGGUCGUCAAUAGUGAAGGGAAAUGUAGUUUUCCAAUCCGGAAUGUUUCCAAUUUCAAAAUAGUGUGGGUUGUUAUCAAUUUCAAAAUUUGAAAAUUCGAGAGUUUUGUUAGUCUUCUGGAUUUCUAAAGUGAUGAAAGCAAGAUUGUAUUACACAAUAGUCUUUAGCUACAGUUUGCAUCUUUUUCUUGCUUAAUUGCCAGGAGCAAUAGUGAAAGGAAAUGUAGUUUUCCAAUCUGCCCAUCAGAUGUUUGAUGAAAUGCCCGAGUAGAAAAUUUCCUGUAACUUCAAAUGCUGAAUUCAACUAAAACAUAUGAGAUAUCCACAAAAAGGCAGAUCAAGGUUGAUUGUGGUCAUGCUUCUUAAUGUCUUAAUUGGGUUAAUAUUCUUAGCCAACGUUUUGAACUUAAACUAGUGGCACUGCAAUUUUGGUUUCAAGCAUUUGUUUAAUUGGAAUCCUUCCACUGAAAUUAAGAUGGAAUUUCGUUGACAUGGUCAAACCUUUUAGAUCUUCUUAUUGCAAUGAAAAUGCUACUUGAUUCUGAUUACAAUGAAAAUGUUUUAAUCGGGUUAAUAUUCUUAUUAAAAAUCUAAAUUUUUGCCACGUUGAUGUGAUUCUUUCACGUUGUUCAACUAGAUUGGUUCGAUGGCAAGCAAAAAUAGGGGAAUUUGUCAUUGUUGUAGAUAGGCAAGACAUAUGUUGCCAGAGUGGCCCCAAAAAAAAAAAAAAAAAAGGAUGCCCAAACUGUGGUGCAGGCUUUAUCAAAUGGAUGGAGGUGGAAAAGAACAAUGAACAUAAAGGGUUGUUGUUUCAUUGUAGUACCUGCGAUUGCAAGUAUUUCAAAUGGUGUAAGAAAUCUGUGGACGAAAAAUGUGAAUUGUAUGACGACAGUGAAUCAAGUGGCACUGUAAACGGAGGUGAGCCUGUUGCGGAGUUGUCGCAUAUGUUGAAAAUGCUUGCUAAGCUGACAGAGGAAAAAGACUUGGAGAUUUCCCUCAACAUCAACAUGCAUAUGGGAAAAUGAGAUUCUAAAGAUUUUAUCUAAACUUAGAUGUAAUUCUACUCCGUGCAAUGUGAUAUUGUGGAUGUAAUGAAGUCGUUGAGUCUUAUGGUUUCGUUCGUGUACAUAUUUAUUCGUAUCUAGUGUCUUUGUUGGCUACCGUGGGUUUUAUGAAUCUGCUUCCCUUGUGCAAGGCAAGUAGAAUUGUGCUCAAAUAUUAGGUCCAUUUAAAAAUCGUGAAUUAGAUUGGUUGCGAUGUGGGUUAUGUUUUUGUGGUGAAAUAUUGUUGUGUACCAACUAUUUUUUCCCAAUUUUCGCCAUCGAAAACAUUAUGCAUAUCAUUUAUUGUGCUUACUAUUAA